ACUUGGGACACUCUGCUAAGCCCUGAGGGAUAUAAGGAAAGGCAAAAGGCAGUCCCUACGCUGGAGGUGAUUUCUGGCCUCCCCUCCUGUUCCCCAUACCUGGCAUCCUCCAGAGUCAAGAGGGGAAGCCUUGUCCAACAGCCUCUUUUUAUAAGGGUGGGGACUCUGGCCCAGAGAAAUGAAUUCUUCUCCCAGGGGGUGGCAAAUGGCAGACGGACUGAUUUGAGCUUCACAACAAUCCUGGGAGGUGGGUACUAUUAUUACCCCCAUUAUACAGGUGAGGAAACAGAGGCAAAUAGAGGUUAGCUUAAAAAAUAAUUCAACAUCCAUUUAUUAAGUGUCUACUUUGUGCCAGGCACCGUGCUAAAAAAUGGCUUCUUUCUUGGUCUUUGAUGUCCUCUUCUUCCGAACCUCAGCACUCCAGGCCCCCUUCUCACAGAAGCAGGCGGAACAUCUGGAGCUUUCCUUUCCUCUCCACCCUGGCCUCGACCUCCAUUCUAGGCUUCCGAGGAAUUGGACGUCUCCUAAAGGGAGUGGUGAGCCCGGAGAGCAGGCCUAGCUUCACUGAAAACAGGCCUGCGGGAAGUUCUGGAAUUUCUGCCAACUUUGGCCCCAUUUUCACAUUUAUUGACAAGGGACAAAAGCGUGCAUCGAGUCAGAAGAGGAGCCUAGCACGCUCACCCAGCAGCAGAGCCCCACCACCUCCAGAGCCCUAGAAGCUACCCUCGGGUGUCUUUGGCCUCAUGGAUAGGGCAGCACCUCCUGGUCAAUGGGACAGUGUCCAGAAGAGCCCCAAGGAUGGCUGGCUGGUUGAAGGACAGCCCAGGGAGAGCGAGCCUGCAGAAGAGAAGCACUGACGUCCACGUUCACUUUCUUCACGUAGGAGAAGGCGCUUUGUACCCAGGAUGGACUAACCUGGUUCUGCUUGGCCCUCUAGGGCAGAACCAGGAGCAACAGGGCGAUAUUUCAGGAGCACAGAUUAGGUUUGAUGCCAGAGAAAACUUCCCCACAAUCCAGACUGUCCCAAAGGGAAUGGGCUGCCCCAGCUUCGGGUACCGGUUAGUCUCUUAAAGCUCGGACAAUCAUCAGUGUGGAGGAUCAGUGAUUACCUCCCUGGGGAGACUCCCUCCACCUACAUGUGUGGUAACCUUCUGUAACUCAGAGUUAAGUCCUAGGAAGUUGCCUGAGGCUCAAAGUUGAAGGGAUUUGCCUGUGGUCAAGGACAACAUGGCAAGAAUUUCUGAUUUCUUCCUUGUGGGAUAUUCAGUAUGGAAAGUCCCUAUGAUGGGUCUAGAAUUUACAACUGUAAAGAGCUGCCCCAGGCUCAGAGAAAUUGUAACUUGGCCAGUCACACAGGCCCUGAAAAGCUAAUGGGACAUUUGAAGUUGGGUCUUCCCGUCCAUGGACAAUACUCAGAAAAAAGCUCUCAUAGGUUACAAUAACCCCCUCCAGAACAGUCAGAGGAAGAACUGUGGGAAUAGAAACACAGAAGAAGAACAACUGCUUGAUCACAUGGUUCAAUGGGGAUAGGACUGGGGAUAUAGAUUCUAAAUGAUCACCUCAGUGCAAAUAUUAAUAAUUGAAAAUAGGUUUUGAUCAAUGACACAUGUAAAACCCAGGGGAAUUGUGCAUCAGCUCGGGGGGGGGGGGGGGAGAGGAAGGAAAGAACAUGAACCUUGUAACCAUGGAAAAAUAUUCUAAAUUAACUAAUUAAAUAAAAAUUUUCCAAAAAUCUAAAAGGCA
Molecule: long non-coding RNA, 1743 nt
Organism: Monodelphis domestica (gray short-tailed opossum)
Lineage: Eukaryota; Metazoa; Chordata; Mammalia; Didelphimorphia; Didelphidae
Source: Ensembl